GUUUUUAAAAAACAUCGCUCCCUGUCCUAAAAAAAUAGGGAGUCGGACCUGCCCAGUGAAUUUUUAACGGCCGCGGUACUCUGACCGUGCAAAGGUAGCAUAAUAAUUUGCCUUAUAAUUGAAGGCUGGUAUGAAUGGUUUGACGAGAAUAAAGCUGUCUCUUUGCAACUAAGUAGAAAUUUAUUUAUGGAUGAAAAAGUCCAUAUAUUAUUAAAAGACAAGAAGACCCUAUCGAGCUUUAAAAAAUUCAAUAGAAAUAAAUAACAUAAACUAAUAUUCACUUAAAAAGUUGGUCUAAUGAAAAUUUUAGUUGGGGCGACCGAGGAACAAAAAAAGCUUCCUUAAAUUUAUAUAUUCUUACCUAUUAGUAUAGAUCCAGAAUAUUUCUGAUCAAUAGAAUUAGUUACCGUAGGGAUAACAGCAUUAUCUUUUUUGAGAGCUCUUAUCGAAAAAAAGGUUUGUGACCUCGAUGUUGGACCAGAAUGUCCUAAAGAUGCAGCAGUCUUNAAGGGUUGGUCUGUUCGACCAUUAAUAUUCUACGUGAUCUGAUUUCC
RNAcentral lists this ribosomal RNA (554 nucleotides) under Strigatella vexillum. RNAcentral describes it as "partial 16S ribosomal RNA". It matches the Rfam family "Bacterial large subunit ribosomal RNA", at positions 1802 to 2613 of the family's 2925-position model. Lineage: Eukaryota; Metazoa; Mollusca; Gastropoda; Neogastropoda; Mitridae. The record is from RNAcentral.